UGAGUAACCUGCCCUUAACUCUGGGAUAAGCCUGGGAAACUGGGUCUAAUACCGGAUAUGACUCCUCAUCGCAUGGGUGGGGGGUGGAAAGCUUUUUUGUGGUUUUGGAUGGACUCGCGGCCUAUCAGCUUGUUGGUGAGGUAAUGGCUCACCAAGGCGACGACGGGUAGCCGGCCUGAGAGGGUGUCCGGCCACACUGGGACUGAGAUACGGCCCAGACUCCGUACGGGAGGCAG
Molecule: ribosomal RNA, 236 nt
Filed under: uncultured bacterium
Lineage: Bacteria
Description: partial 16S ribosomal RNA
Rfam family: Bacterial small subunit ribosomal RNA
Source: RNAcentral